RNAcentral lists this ribosomal RNA (692 nucleotides) under Pediococcus pentosaceus. Its description in RNAcentral is "bacterial SSU rRNA". It matches the Rfam family "Bacterial small subunit ribosomal RNA", at positions 63 to 744 of the family's 1533-position model. Lineage: Bacteria; Bacillati; Bacillota; Bacilli; Lactobacillales; Lactobacillaceae. The record is from RNAcentral.
UGUACUGAUUGAGAUUUUAACACGAAGUGAGUGGCGAACGGGUGAGUAACACGUGGGUAACCUGCCCAGAAGUAGGGGAUAACACCUGGAAACAGAUGCUAAUACCGUAUAACAGAGAAAACCGCAUGGUUUUCUUUUAAAAGAUGGCUCUGCUAUCACUUCUGGAUGGACCCGCGGCGUAUUAGCUAGUUGGUGAGGUAAAGGCUCACCAAGGCAGUGAUACGUAGCCGACCUGAGAGGGUAAUCGGCCACAUUGGGACUGAGACACGGCCCAGACUCCUACGGGAGGCAGCAGUAGGGAAUCUUCCACAAUGGACGCAAGUCUGAUGGAGCAACGCCGCGUGAGUGAAGAAGGGUUUCGGCUCGUAAAGCUCUGUUGUUAAAGAAGAACGUGGGUAAGAGUAACUGUUUACCCAGUGACGGUAUUUAACCAGAAAGCCACGGCUAACUACGUGCCAGCAGCCGCGGUAAUACGUAGGUGGCAAGCGUUAUCCGGAUUUAUUGGGCGUAAAGCGAGCGCAGGCGGUCUUUUAAGUCUAAUGUGAAAGCCUUCGGCUCAACCGAAGAAGUGCAUUGGAAACUGGGAGACUUGAGUGCAGAAGAGGACAGUGGAACUCCAUGUGUAGCGGUGAAAUGCGUAGAUAUAUGGAAGAACACCAGUGGCGAAGGCGGCUGUCUGGUCUGCAACUGAC